RNAcentral lists this transfer RNA (89 nucleotides) under Oscillospiraceae bacterium. RNAcentral describes it as "tRNA-Ser". It matches the Rfam family "tRNA". Rfam says of the family: Transfer RNA (tRNA) molecules are approximately 80 nucleotides in length. Their secondary structure includes four short double-helical elements and three loops (D, anti-codon, and T loops). Further hydrogen bonds mediate the characteristic L-shaped molecular structure. tRNAs have two regions of fundamental functional importance: the anti-codon, which is responsible for specific mRNA codon recognition, and the 3' end, to which the tRNAs corresponding amino acid is attached (by aminoacyl-tRNA synthetases). tRNAs cope with the degeneracy of the genetic code in two manners: having more than one tRNA (with a specific anti-codon) for a particular amino acid; and 'wobble' base-pairing, i.e. permitting non-standard base-pairing at the 3rd anti-codon position. The record is from RNAcentral. Lineage: Bacteria; Bacillati; Bacillota; Clostridia; Eubacteriales; Oscillospiraceae.
GGAGGAGUAGCGAAGAGGUCAUAACGCGGCGGUCUUGAAAACCGUUUGGGGGCAACCCCACGGAGGUUCGAAUCCUCUCUCCUCCGCCA